This 826-nucleotide ribosomal RNA is filed under the name Dictyocoela roeselum. Its description in RNAcentral is "SSU rRNA". It matches the Rfam family "Microsporidia small subunit ribosomal RNA", at positions 53 to 830 of the family's 1311-position model. The record is from RNAcentral. Lineage: Eukaryota; Fungi; Microsporidia.
CAUGUGUAAGCGAAGCGAUAAGUGGAGCGGUGAAAGGCUCAGUAACGGGCGAUUUAUUUGAUCUCCUGGGACGGACAACAUCGGGAAACUGAUGGGAAAACGUCUAAGUUGCAGUUUUUUUUUGAUUGCGACGUAAACCUUUUGGUGCAGGAGAGUAAGAUGCCAUCCUAUCAGUUAGUAAGUAGGGUAAGGGCCUACUUAGACGAAGACGGGUACGGGGAAUGAGGGUUUGAUUCCGGAGAGGGAGCCUGAGAGAUGGCUACCAGGACCAAGGUCAGCAGCAGGCGCGAAAAUUAUCGAAGCCCGCCUAGGGGCGAUAGUGAGGAGACGUGUAUAACGAAGUACGUGUAAAGACCGUACUAAUAACUGGAGGUCAAGUCUGGUGCCAGCAUCCGCGGUAAUUCCAGCUCCAGGGGUGUCUAUGAUGAUUGCUGCGAUUAAAAAGUCCGUAGUCGAGCUGACUGACUGACCUGCAAUGUGGUUGAUUAAAAGACGAGCAGGGUUAGGAAAGCAGAGAAUUAGGAGCGACCGAGGGCUAGAGUAUUGAAUGGCGAGAGGUGAAAUUUGAUGACCCAUUCAGGAGUGACAAAGGCGAAGGCACUAGUCAAGGGCGAAUCCGAUGAUCAAGGACGUAGGCUAGAGUUUCGAAAACGAUUAGAGACCGGAGUAGUUCUAGCAGUAAACUAUGCCGACACCGUGGUAUUAAUUUUUUAGUAUUGCGGAAGAGAAAUCAAGUAAGGCUUUGGGGAGAGUACGCGCGCAAGCGAUAAAUUUAAAGGAAAUUGACGGAGGAACACCACAAGGAGUGGAGUGUGCGGCUUAAUUU